AGGGAGACCUAAUUCAGGUAGGAGACGAAAAAAAAGUAGUCCCUACCAAGAAUCAAUCCCAAAAGGUCGGAGCGAGGCAAAAUUGGCUUUCAAACUAGGUUCUGGGUUCACACAAGACCUGAAUCAGGAACAAGGGCUAUUAGCUCAGGUGGUUAGAGCGCACCCCUGAUAAGGGUGAGGUCCCUGGUUCGAGUCCAGGAUGGCCCACCUGUACAGGUGGCAAAAAGAAAGAAAAGAAGCGAGGAAUCAGCACCUUAUCUUACUUAUAUAGUAAGAGAGAAUGCUGGCUCUGAGUUCAGAGUCCAGAGGAACCUUGAAAACUGCAUAGAGCUAGGUGAAAAAGCCAAAAAAGAAGACCGCAA
RNAcentral lists this transfer RNA (362 nucleotides) under uncultured Microcystis sp. Its description in RNAcentral is "partial 16S ribosomal RNA". The stretch from base 134 to 207 matches the Rfam family "tRNA". The record is from RNAcentral. Lineage: Bacteria; Bacillati; Cyanobacteriota; Cyanophyceae; Chroococcales; Microcystaceae.